RNAcentral lists this unclassified non-coding RNA (377 nucleotides) under uncultured bacterium. RNAcentral's name for it is "contains 16S-23S intergenic spacer region". The record is from RNAcentral.
UCCGGUUUGACACCGGCAGUCUCCAUAGAGUUCUCGCCAUUACGCGUUAGUAACUAUGAAUAAGGGUUGCGCUCGUUGCGGGACUUAACCCAACAUCUCACGACACGAGCUGACGACAGCCAUGCAGCACCUGUGUUGCGGUUCCCUUUCGGGCACUCCUGCAUUUCUGCAGGAUUCCGCACAUGUCAAGGGUAGGUAAGGUUUUUCGCGUUGCAUCGAAUUAAACCACAUGCUCCUCCGCUUGUGCGGGCCCCCGUCAAUUCCUUUGAGUUUCAAUCUUGCGAUCGUACUUCCCAGGUGGCAUACUUAACGCUUUCGCUUGGGUCCUAACAGUAUAUCGCUAAGGCCGAGUAUGCAAAGUUUAGGGCGUGGACUAC